This 253-nucleotide ribosomal RNA is filed under the name uncultured bacterium. RNAcentral describes it as "partial 16S ribosomal RNA". It matches the Rfam family "Bacterial small subunit ribosomal RNA", at positions 524 to 776 of the family's 1533-position model. The record is from RNAcentral.
UACGUAGGGAGCGAGCGUUGUCCGAAGUUACUGGGCGUAAAGCGCACGUAGGCGGAUUGUUAAGUCAGGGGUGAAAUCCUGGAGCUCAACUCCAGAACUGCCUUUGAUACUGGCGAUCUCGAGUCCGGGAGAGGUGAGUGGAACUGCGAGUGUAGAGGUGAAAUUCGUAGAUAUUCGCAAGAACACCAGUGGCGAAGGCGGCUCACUGGCCCGGUACUGACGCUGAGGUGCGAAAGCGUGGGGAGCAAACAGG